RNAcentral lists this ribosomal RNA (898 nucleotides) under uncultured Chloroflexota bacterium. RNAcentral's name for it is "bacterial SSU rRNA". It matches the Rfam family "Bacterial small subunit ribosomal RNA", at positions 95 to 1034 of the family's 1533-position model. The record is from RNAcentral. Lineage: Bacteria; Bacillati; Chloroflexota.
GUGGCGCACGGCUGAGUAACACGUGGGAACCCGCCCCCCGGUGGGGGAUAACGCGACGAAAGGCCUAAUCCCGCAUACGUCCGCAGGGGGAAAGCGCUUCGGCGCGCCGGGGGAGGGGCCUGCGGCAUCAGGUCGUUGGUGGGGUAACGGCCUACCAAGCCGAUGGCGGGUAGCUGGUCUGGGAGGAUGACCAGCCAGACUGGGACUGAGACACGGCCCAGACUCCUACGGGAGGCAGCAGCAAGGUAUUUUCGGCAAUGGGCGCAAGCUGACCGAGCAACGCCGCGUGCUGGAUGACGGCCCGGGUGUAAACCGCUUUUCGGGGGGACGAUGAUGACGGUACCCCCGGAACAAGCCCCGGCUAACUCUGUGCCAGCAGCCGCGGUAAGACAGAGGGGGCGAGCGUUGUCCGGAGUCACUGGGCGUAAAGCGCGCGCAGGCGGUCGCCAAAGUGUCGUGUGAAAGCCCCCGGCUCAACCGGGGGAGGCCAUGGCAAACUCGGCGACUGUGGCGGCGGAGAGGCCCCUCGAAUUGCCGGUGUAGCGGUGAAAUGCGUAGAGAUCGGCAGGAAGACAAAGGGGGAAGCCAGGGGGCCGGCUGCUGCUGACGCUGAGGCACGACAGCGUGGGGAGCGAACCGGAUUAGAUACCCGGGUAGUCCACGCCGUAAAAAAUGACCACUCGGCGUGCGGCGACUAUUGACGUCGCGGUGCGCCUUACUCACGCGCUAAGUGGUCCGCCUGGGAACUACGAGCGCAAGCUUAAAACUCAAAGGAAUUGUCGGGGGCCCGAACAAGCAGCGGAGCGUGUGGUUUAAUUCGAGGCAACCCGAAGAACCUUACCCAGGCUUGACAUGACGGUGCAGAGGCGGAAACGCCGUCGCCUCCGAGGGCCCGUCA